GUAAAGACGUCGAACAGGAAGAGUAAGCGUCAAGGCCCCUUACAGAGAGCAGAGCGAUGAGGUGUAACGCCUGCAGGAGCGUCCCGCUGAAGUCACCUGGGAGUUGCCCGUUUGAACGCGUCACGGCAGUGUAUGAGCCCGGUGCUCGGCAUGUGCCGCCGCGCGCUAGAAGGGGACGGCCGCAUCCGUUACAUGCAGUGGAGUGCCGCCGCGUUCAUGCGAUGAUCAUGAGACGCUUGGCGGAAUUAAGGGUGGUACCACGGAAGUCGAACCUUUCGUCCUUUGC
Molecule: regulatory RNA element, 286 nt
Organism: Paenibacillus dendritiformis C454
Lineage: Bacteria; Bacillati; Bacillota; Bacilli; Caryophanales; Paenibacillaceae
Rfam family: T-box leader
About the family: Uncharged tRNA acts as the effector for transcription antitermination of genes in the T-box leader family. T-boxes are found upstream of many aminoacyl-tRNA synthetase genes and some amino acid biosynthetic genes usually in Gram-positive bacteria.
Source: Rfam